Molecule: unclassified non-coding RNA, 14149 nt
Filed under: Leishmania donovani
Lineage: Eukaryota; Euglenozoa; Kinetoplastea; Trypanosomatida; Trypanosomatidae
Description: gene:LdHU3.26.3110(CDS-product:Zn-finger_in_Ran_b inding_protein_and_others/SPRY_domain/HECT-domain_(ubiquiti n-transferase)_putative)
Source: RNAcentral
UCUCAUUCACGCACAGCGCAGCACGCACAGUGUCUCGUCCUCUCUAUUUCCAUCACUCUUUUCGACUGUUUCCACCUCAACCCCCUCGUACACAUCCCGACAGCAACAGAAGACAGCAUUGGAGAGCGAAGAGAAGACGCGAUACACACCCACCCACACACGCACAUACGCAUAUCAGAAUUUUGAGAAGGAAACACAACAGACCGAGAGGAGGAUAUACGGGGCGACAUAAAGGGCGAGGGCGGGAGAGAGAGACGUACAUACACACGCACAAGUACAGAGGGACAACCUCUCUACACGACCACAAACUCUUGCGCUUUUAUCCUUUGCGCCUCUCUCGCUCUCUUUGUCCCCCCCCCUCUUCUGCACCUCCUCCAACACCUCCCUCCCUCUCCCUCCCUCAAUAGCCCUGCGCGCUUCCUCUCGCAAGACAGCCUUUGUUCGAGGCUACGCACGCGCUGUGACGCGGACGUGCAACGCCAUCAUAGGCGACGGCGGCGGCAAGCUUCGCAGGACCUCUUUCGUGUGCCCGCGCGUCGCCCGUGCGUGCGCCUUGAUAUUUUUCAUCUCUGAGCGUGAGCAGGGGCUAGCCCCCUCGAGUCCUUCAUCGAUUGCUUGCUGAGAACUCGCUACCAGCAUUCGGCUCGCUCGCUCUUUCCGCGUGUGCCUGUGUGAAGUCCGCUACGCUUGCUCCCUUCCCUCUCUCUGCCGAUCUCUCUCAGCGCGCUUUCAUUUCUUCGCGCCACACUCCGCCCUCCUCCCGCUCUGUGGCACCUCUGUGCGUGUGGCGCGUGUGCUUUGGGGGGGGGAGCGGCUCGGCGUUGCACCUCCCUACAUCUUUUAUAUUCCUGGCGCUUCCCCUCUUUCGCGGUGUCUGCGUGUGUGCGACGCACACGCGCGCACACACACGUUUUUCCGUCUUGACUCCUUUCUUGUCGUGCCUGCUACCCCCUUUGUUUUGCUGUGUGUUGUCGUGUGUGCGCGUGUGUGUGUUUCGCAUUGUCUCUCGGCGGAGAGCUGUUGGCUCCAUUGUGUGUGACGGCACGGCUGUGUCUCUGUGGGUGUGUUGGCAGAUUUGCAGGGCAACUCGUGCGCUGGAUCUCUUCCCUCCUUUCCUUCCCUGACUCACAUCUCGCCUCUUGUGUGCUUCUGCGAGAGGGGCAUCGCUGGUACUCUUCUCGGUGCUGCGGCAGCGCGUGCCCGCUUGGUCUUUCUUUCCCUCUCUCUUUACUUGUUUGUCUCGCGGAGUCACUGGCUGUGCUGUCGCGGCCACUUUGAUCUCUCCCGAUCUCGGCAUUGCCGUUUGUGUGUGUGUGUGUGCACCCUGCCGUGCCGCGCUCCCCCCUCACUCUGGCCAUCUGCGAGGACUGCAUUUCUUCUUGUCGUUGCUCUCGCGCUCUCUGCUUCACGUCCCGCUCGCCCAACAAAGCCCUCCUCCCGCCAUCCGGCUGCCACCUCUUCCUCCCGUAUCGCUCUAGCGCUGCCGCACGAAUCUGACGCACUGCUACUUCUCUCUCGGUCUCUACGCGAUUCGAUUGCCUUUCGGAGUCUUCGCGCGUGCUUUCAACCUAUACACACAGAGAGACUCACAGAGCGGCAAGCCUUGACUGCACGGUGGGGUGCGUGGCCAGCUCAGGCACCUAGGGCAGUGGAGGGGGAGCAACCAGAGGCAAAAAAAGUGGCCGCCAUGGAGCCGCCAUCUCAGCCCUCAGCGGCAGUGCACCGCGUUCAUGCUCGUUUCGACCCCACUGCGGCAAUCGCAACGUACCGCGUGGAGGAAAUCAUGGCCAUGCCAGCCGAUCAGCUGGCCCGCGUCGCGUGGCCGUUGCUGACGAAUAUGGAGCGCUCUUUGUCCAUGAAAGACGUGUACUUCACCCCUCCCAUACGCGUAAGCGCGUCGCCGCGGGCAACAGAAGCCGCCUUUGCUGCCGGAAUUCAGAGCUGCAUGGCGGAGCUGACGGAGAGCCUGUCGCAGACGAACUGCGGUGAGGUGCCGCUGUCCACAGCGCGGCUGCGUGCUGCCGCGUUUGCUUAUUUUAUUUCAGCUUCGCCAGCCCCCCGAAGAGCGCUGCAGGCAUCGUCGCCACGCGGUGCCGCCGGCGCUUCCUGCUCCGGCACGCAUGCGACCGAAGCCGUCGCUCAGCAUCUGCGCAAGGAGGGACACGCUUCUUUUCCGCCGGCCCUCAGCCUGUCGGCAGAUGUCUUCGAGUUCGCCAUCCAGUCGCUUGGGGACGCCUCGGAAAGAGAACUGCGCGACAUCACAAGCGGUGGAGGGUCCGUGGGAACGCUACCCAACAUAUCGCGCCCCUAUACGGACACUGGUGCUGCCGCGUCGCCUUCGGAAAGCGCCUCUGGGACCGCAGCCGGCGCAAGCGCACCAUGUGAGGCUGCUGUGUCGACUCGUGCUGCAUCCAUACAGCUGGGCAGAAACAACGACAACGGCACAGCGGAUUCCCUUGGCGGUGCGACCGCCGCGUCGGGAGCGCAGUCGCCAAGCGAUAGCCACUCCAACACAGCGGCCACAGCGGCAGCCACAACCGCCGCGGAGAGGGGCAAGCAGUCCAGCGCGCGCCCCAGUCGUAGCAGCACCGUAAAGUGCGGAAACGAUGAUGUCAACGACCGCGAGUGCUACGAGCGCAAGACGCGCCGAUUUCUUGCGGAACGGGUCGACAUGCAGUGGGAGUCGGUCGUGGCGAGCGUUCUAGUGUCAGACGGAGGCGAGAGCUGCAGCGGCAGUGGUACCACUUCCGCCUCCGCUACAUCGUUGUCGUCGGCGCCGCCGCCGUCAGCGGGGGCCGGGGCCUUGCUGCGUCAGAAGAUGCUGCGCACGGCGGUGAUGCUGUGUAGGCGCGCUCCUACGUGUGCCGAGGCGGGCCACUCGUUUGCGUGUCUACUGAAGCACUCCUUGCGUGCAGUGUCGGCCACCGACGCUAUCCGAGGCGCGGACGGCGGCGCUGUUUCUACCCCCGUGCUGCACCCUCCGUCGUGCUUGUCAGCGUACCACGGGCAGCGGUCACCGCUGACGCCGGCGCAGAAAGGAGGUCCUAUCCAGCCCAUCGAGAAGCGGGAGGCGCACGGGUUGGUAAAGCAGAGCCUGUCGCUCGCAGCGUCCCCCUUGCAGCCGCAGCACACCUCUGUCGCGCAGCAGCAGGCCGCUCUGUGGGUGGAGUUGGUGCUGCCGCUGCUGCACCUCGUGCCCCUUGUCCAGUGGUCACCGGAUACACUGACAGAGCUGGGCCAGGUGCUGGAGACGGUGACGGCAACGGCACCUGCCAAACUUGUGGCACUGGCUCAACAGCAGCACCAGCACGGCAAGAGGGCAGGUAGUUGUGGUGCUACUGGUGGCCACGUCGGAGUUUACCAUCGCCCAUCACAAGGACGCAAGGGAGGGGCCGCUGUGCUCGCUGCAGCAGUGGAGGCUCCUGUCCCGGCAGUGACGAGUGGCGGAGGCGCGGAAGAGGUGGUGAACUUCUCCGUGCGUGUGCCUUUUGAAAUCGGCCUGCCAGUCCCUCCUGUGAUGACCGAGACCCGCCUGAGCGACUUGGUGCACGACUCAGGCGGCGCGACAGAGAAGAGUUCCAAUACUGCGCGACGCGGCGCCGGCGAGACCAGCGCCACCGAUCCUGCCGCACUGCUGGCGUACACGAGCGAGAGCGGCCCAAGCACCGGGAACCGCUACCCGUCCUAUCCGUCCUCGGUGUUCCACGAGGUGUCUGACGUCCGCGACGACGACGACCACAUGGGCGCUGCGGCCGUGACAGAGGAGAUGUCGGUGGCGGGUGAGGAGGGCGGCGAAGAGGACGAGUCCGCUUACACGGACGCCGAGGGCGAGUACGCGUACGACGCAGGCUCCAACGCAUCCACCACCACGAGCGCGCCGUCGCAGAGCCGGGCUUCUCGUGCAAGCCCGCUGAACGUGUCCGCAAGCAGCCGCGACGGCGAAGACGCCGAUGGCGCGGGCGGUGCCGGCGGUGUCGGAGAUGGGUUGUUGUUCAACAGCGCGCAUGGAGACUUUGACGACCUGCCGUGCCGCCGUCGGCGGACGCAGAUGGUGGAGCUGUGCCUGCCAUGCGCCACACGUGUGUCGGUGCACCUUACCAACGGGGUGCAGUGGGACCGUGCCUUGCGCGGGCGCGAUGUGCUGCUCUUGCCGCUGGAGAGCGACGCAAACAGUGCAGAGAGCACUUCCUCGGCGCUGGCAGGGUCCUCGACGUCGAGCACGUCACCUGGCGCGACAGAGGCGCUGAAGAGCAGCUCAAACUCUGCCGCUGUCGGCAAGGAGGCCAAGAAGGAUACGCGGCUGCCUGUGUCUCUUCACAGCUUGAAGGAGGAGCACGGCAGUGACACUCUCACCUACGCUGGCCCGUGCCGUGUCGUAAUCCCGAGCUUGCCGCAGGACCCGGUGUACAUGCUUCCUGGCGAGGUCAGCGCGCAGGUGCAGCUGACCCUCGACACGCGUUGGAGCACCGAAUGGACGGUGGCACUUUCCAGUGCGCAGCGCACCGUGGCGGAGCGGCUCUUGGCGUGGAUGGAGCGGCGGGUGCACGGGAGCGUUGACCAGCAGCAGCCACAACAGCGGCGCAGCCGUAUCGCGAGCUCUUUCCUGCUGCGAGGGGGCUUGAAAGGCGUCAUGGGUGGCGGCGCCUCGGCAUCUGGCAGUUCACAGGCAGCGAUGGCGGACGGCGGUAGCGGCGGUUCCCACGUGCCGAUCGCAGCGAUGACGACUGCAGCCCUGGCCGGCGCUGCUGCGCCUGCAACGGCUGCUGCUGCUGCGCCACUGGCCGACCCCUUCAUCCAGGCGCUGCACGAAAUGCCAACGGCAGCGCUGCAGGCGCGGGUGCGGUGCCACACCGUACACGCCGACGGCGUCCGCGCCGUGCUUUUGGUUAUUGCCCACAUGCUGCUUCAAGACCGCACCGGGUACCUCCACAUGGACCCGCUUACGUGGCAUUCGCCGACCUGGUCGGACGCCGUGCGCCGUGUCAGCCUAGCCAGCACCACCGUCGGCGGCAUGAACAGUGGUGAGCACGCGCUGGAAGUUGCCUUGUUCGUCCUGCGCAAUGUCGCGUCUGGUCCGACAGCCUCGACCGUUUCAUCAGCGCAAGUGGUGGAUGCGGCGAUCGACCUGUUCAGCAUUCCCGGACUCACCGUGGCGGAUGUGAAAGCGGCGCUGGAGGACCGCCGGCAGUUCGGCAGCACUAUGUGGGUGGUUGUCGACCUUCUCACCAAGUGCUCGGCAACGUGGCGGGCACCAAGACACGUGGCGUUAGUCAGUGAGGCGGCGCGACGGCUCCUGCUGCUCGGGUGCACCGGGCCUGCAGCCGCGGCACAGAACCACUAUGCACAUUCGUCGCCGCACCGCACCACCGGUGCCAUCACUGCCGGUGGACUCGCUGGGGCCUCUGCGGCGCCGAUGACUACAUCUGGUAGCGCGACUUCCCCAUCUUUACUCACUGCCACUGCUGCCACCGGCCACUACCUGAGCGUGGUGAGCGGGUGCGGUCGCGUGACCGAGGCAAACCUUCGCCGCGGUGUGCAUGCACUCCUUGCACAGCUCUUUCGGCUGCUGCGUGCUCUGCUGCAUCGCGUCCAGUCAACGCAGGCCGCUCCGCAUCGCUUCUUGCUGGAGCCGUGGGAGUAUGGCGCUUUCGCUGCCUUCACAGUGUCGUUGAUGUCGACGCCAAUGGAUGCGACCGACCUGCAGGCGUGCUCCCCGCACUUUGCGGAGGUGGUGACGGGCUUGCUGCCCGCCUUUACACGCCUGUCUCGCACGGAUUCGCUGGUGCUGACGAGCGAGACGGCUGAGCAGGAGUUCCUGGUCGAGGUACUCAAGUACGUGCGAGGGCGAAUCCCAUCAGCGUCGUCGCCGGCCGGCAGUGCGGGCUCUGCAGAUGGUAGUGACAGCGCCGAGUUUGGCGAAAACGAAACGCCGGCCUCGCGUGAGCCGCACAUCCUCCGCCGCUAUCAAGAAACUGCCAGCGGAAACACCGUGACGUAUAUCAGCUCGAUGCCAUCCGUCCUGGGCGAUGGCGGGGGCCUCUGGGACAUCCCGCAGAGCUCCGCGAGCGCGUCGUGGACCCCCGGGCAUGUGCGAGUGGAGCUGUGGAACGGUACGAGCAGCGGCUUCUUUAUCGGACUCGCCUCCGCCGACGUCCCGCUCGCCGACUGCACACCAGAGACGGACGCCAACGGCAUUUACUUUAUCGGCGAUGGCACCGUGCAGUACGGCGACGUGACGCGCCGUCAGCGUCGGCUGCCUCGCUGGCGCGCUGGCGACGUUGUGGAGCUCAGCUUUGUGUUUGCGCGUGGUGGCUGGGACGUCGUAAUGGAACUUAAUGGCGUGAGCUUGACGCGGCUGACGCUGCCGCGGCGGGACUUCCGCCUUGUGGCGACAAACGUGCGCACCGGCGAUUACGUGCCAGGCCUCGGCCACAUGCACGUGCUAUCCGUCACUCCGGUGCACAGCAGAGGGGGUAAGGAUAGCGGCGCUGCUCGGCGCCGCGGUGUCGGCGGCACAGGCGGCCAUGCGCUCUCAUCAGGCGCUUCAUCGUCGCUGUCGUUGGCAUCGGCGCCGGCUGACGUCCGCCUCUCCCCUUUUGCGCGGUUGACAUUGUUCGGUGUGUCGCUGCUGCUGGAGCUGGUCCUCCACUACCUCGUGCUGCGCAGCUCUCGCCAUGUCCGCGCGGCGGCCGCCGCUGCUGGCACUGCUGCCUCUAGCACUGCUGCAGGGCAUGGGGAGGGGUUAAGCCUGGUGCAGGCGUGCACCAUCCCACUACAGCACAGCGUGCAACAGCUGGUGCAGCUGCUGCACGAGCUCGACAGCACCGACAGCAGCGGUGCCGGUGGCGCCGACGACGGAGCCAUGUAUCACGUGAAGCACACGGCAGCCAAACACGUUACAAACGCGAUGCUGCUCGACCUUGUUGUCACGCUCUCCAUCGCGGUACCAGCGUCGCCGGCGCUCUUUGCCACGCAUAUUGAUGUCCUCAUCGCUGUCGCUGAGUGCGCGGCCGUGGCACGCAAGACUCGUUCGGUGGCUUUGAGUGCUCUGUACAACGCCAUCUCGCAGCGCGCUUCCGCCGCCGGCUGUGACACCGCACCCGCCUCGCUGCCUUCGGCCCCGGCAGCCACAUCGGCAGCCGCGCCGGUGAGUGCGAGUGCUGUACAGCGUCUCUGGGCCGCCUGUCAUCAGCUCGCCUCCGCCACGCCUGGCUAUCAGCCGCGGUUCAACAGCUCGUCGGUUCCGUCGUCGUGCGUGACCGUAUUUGCGGGUGGGCGUCGGAUUGAGCACAACCAGGCAGGAACCACCAGCGGCAGUGGCGGUGGCGCCGCAUCCAGCAAUGUGCGCAGCAUAUCGUACGCCUGCAAUCCCGUUGAUCUGGCGGACCCGAACACACCCGAUGUCGUGCGCGUGUCGGUGCGACUGCAGCGCGGCUUUCAGUGCGAGACGCUGGGGCGCUACUACUACUUCGGCCUGGCGGAGAUCAACGCGCCGCCGAUGGUCACGCCGCUUGACGGUAACGGCGAGCUCAUCCUCUACCCGGGUGAGUGGUCGAAGCAGCGCCGGGUGUACUACAUCUCCGACUACUUGACCGAGGUGCCCGGCACGGCUGUGCAGCGGUGGGACACGGAGCGGGCAGAGAACUAUUUGAACCCUGAUACUGGCAUUGUCUUCGGUUCUGGCGAUGUGAUGACGGCUGUCGUGUACGUGAAGGAGCGGUGCAUCGGGUUCGAGCGGAAUGGGCUGCCGCUAAACAUCUUACAUCGCAGAAUCCCCGCCUCUGUGCGGCACAUCUUUCCGUUUGUGGAGCUCUACAACCGCGAUAGUCGGGCAAAAUGGAUGUACCCGCCUGACGAAGCCGUCGUGAGCGCGCGGUACACGAUGCGUGCAAUGCUGCUGUCGUGGACGCCUCUGGUGCUGCCGCUUGUGAAGGAGCACCUGUCCAUCACCACCGCCGCGGCCUCUGGUGCGCCAGAUCGGGACGUAACUCUGGGCGUGCUGGGUGCGGAUGGAGACGAGAUGCAGAUGGUAUACGUUGCCCCUCCGCAGCUCGACCAGCCUGGCGGUGGCACAACGUCCGUGCACGUUGAACGCUUCGAGGGUGGCAUGGUUGUCGUCAGCGACGAGGCUGGGUCCAUUCAGCGAGUGUGCGCGGCUGCCCUGGAGCCGGACUCCACAAAGGACGCUUACUCGCUGCCGGCGUUGGCCGCGGUGCGGGCAUGCGUGCAGGCAUGCGUGCCGGAGCUCGCCGCGGUGGCUGCCGAGUGCCUUGCCGGGUUGAAGCGGACCUCACCAACGCCCUUGGCCACCUCGCCGCGUUCGUUCAGUUAUACGGAGGAACACUCGGACGAUGAAGCGCGCCGACACGCCUUGCUCACUCAUCCGGCUACCCUCUUACGCACACUGCGGCUGAUCUUCUCGUUGCACAGCUCAUUGCCAGGGAAGGGAAGCAGUGGCAGCAACGGCGGCAGCAACCCCCCCAGCACCGACUCCUGUAUAGGCGCAGGCGGCAGUAAUGUCAGUGGGCCGGUGAGUGGCAUCCCUACGACACCACCAUCGACCACGCUUCCAGCGGCGGCGGACAAGGCCAUACACGCUCUCUUGCCCUUGCUGGACGCGGUCUUGCCAGCGGCACAGCUGAACCUGCCGCCGCAUGUGUUGCUGCGUGAGUCGUGGAAUGAACUCUGGUGCAACCCACACCUGCGCGAGCGACUGCUCAUUCGCGUUCUGCAAGCCAACGCCCCCGAGGCGGGUGCGACGGGGGCGGCGAGCGCGUACACGGAGCCUGCGGGCACGACCGCGCUCACGAGCGUAAAAAGGCUCGAGGACCGUCUUGUCGGUCAUCGACGUCGCGGACACGCGCUCUUGUGCCCGACAUGCGGGGAGCGCUGGUCGGCCUGCACGGCACGCCACUCCGCGCCGUCGAGCUGGUGCGACCUGCUCGAUCGCGUCCUGCGGCGGCUGCAGGAGCAGCUAGCGCACCCGGAGGACCAGCCCGCCUCGCCGUACUGCAGCUGGUAUACUGAAUGGACGGACGGCCCGCUCACUGCAAUCAGCCAUGCCACCGGCGCUGGAGGGCUGCCGCAAAGCGUGCCUGCCGCAGCAACCGCCGCCGCCGCCGCCGUGGCCGGUGUCGAGAACGAGGUGGGGGCAGGUGGCGAGGGCUAUCACAGCCGGACGUCUCCCCAGUCUUCCGAUGCUAUGCUAUGGGAGGACGCCGAUGAUGAGGAUGGAGACGAUGCGGCCAGCGAGGCGGCGGCGGCAGAUGGCCACGGCGAGCCAGCUGUGGAGGCCGAGGAGGAUGCCGACUCUGGUGACGCGGCAGCGCCAGGAGACGACUACUCGGUGGCCUCAGGCGCUGAAGCGAUGACCAGCGAACUUGUUGGGCCGCCUCGGGUCGAGGAUAGCGACGAAGACAACCAGGACGAGGAGGACGAGGAGGACGAGGAGGACUUUGGAGUGUCUGCUCCAGCUGCCACCAGCGCCGCACGCGAGUCCCUUGCUGUCGCCGGAGCAGGUGGCGAGAGGGAGGCGGAGGCACCGAUGACAUUGACGAUUCGCCGCGUGCAAAACGACGCUAUCGAGGAGGACGACCGCGCGUUGGUGGAGGGAUUCGGUGAAACAAAGGAGGCCUCCUUCACCUUCACCGGCUACCUCGUCUCAUCGGCGGUACUGCAUGGGCGGAUGGAGUUCGACCGCAUCAACCUGCCCGACGGUGACGGCCCCGACGGGGCCGCCAGCCAAGAGUGGGCCUGCUCCAUGUGCACUUUCAUUAACGAGCCUUCCGCUGUGCGAUGCGCUAUCUGCUCCAACGCGCGUCCAGGCGCGUCGUGGACGUGCCCCAUGUGCAGCUUCGCCUACAAUGCCCUUGCGGCAGCGACGUGCGUGACGUGUGGAUGCAUGCGGCCGAGCAGCGUGCGACGGCAGGAAGCGACGGGUCUGUGCUGCUACUGUACCGAGUGUCAUCAGCGCGAGUACGCUCGAGAUUUUCACGCGCUGCGCCAUCGCCACUUCUGCUCCAGCUGCGCCCGCGUGACGCGGUGGCUUCCGAAGGACAGGUUCUCCACCACCAUUGAGGCACGCCUCACCGGCGACGGCGCCACAUUGGAGUUCCAGUGGGCGCUGGACGGCUCCAAGAUAAUCUGCUUCGGUCUGCAAAACCGCGCGUACAACGCUGACGUCUUGUGGGGGCUUGUCGAGGCGGCGGCCCAACAGAUUGGGUCGUGCGCCGCUGCGGAGGUGGGCCGCUAUGUCUGUCCUAUCCCAGAGCGUCCGCUCACCUCGCAUCUGGCGAAGCCGCAAGAGCGCAUAACUGCAUCGGCGGCACCGGCACCUGUUGAGCCGUGCAUUGUCGGCGCCAUCGUCCACUAUGCGAGCGCCAUCCUUCUUCGCUACGCGGCGUUGCUGCCAUCCAGCCAGCUGUCUCAACCAGGCUUCUUGCGUCGCAUUCACGUCUGCUCAACAGACUGGCUGGAGAGCUGGAGCCAGUUCCCGGCGUCCACCGUCACUCCCAUCUUUUUCCAGUGCCUGCAGAUGCUGCAGGAUGGCAUCCGCGAGCCGGAGUUAGUGUCCACCAUCGCAAGCGUCGCACUCGCGUUGAUCCGGCAACAGCCACUCGAACUCGCGGCUGAGAAAGACGCGUUACUCUACGCGCUGUGCCUGAACGUUGUGCGACACGGCGACACGGCGCAGCGUAAGGCCAGCUACGAGUGCCUGAGCGCAUUGAUGGAGGAAAACGCAUGCGCCCGCUUGAACGUGCAGCCGUUGGUGCAAGUGCUGUCGAUGGAACCCCUUGUGGAGGGCCAACAGCGGGCAACCGUCCUGGCACUUCUUCACCACGCGUCUAUGCGAACCACUUCAGCAAUUGCGAAGGCCAGCGCGUGCCUGGCACGCACUGUGGUCGCGAUGGAGCAGCGGCGCCCACUACCGCCGAUGCUGGGCAAGCCGUUUCCGCACGUGGUGGCUUUGACGGAGACGCGCCUCAACGAGGCUGGGGAACUGCUUGUGGGUCAGGUGCGCGGCAGUGUUGGCGUGGCGCCAACGAAAGGUGGAAAGUUCUACUACGAGGUGGAGGUGCCGCCGGAUUUCGCCGACCGAUCGAGGACUGUGGUAAUGGGGUGGGGCACGCUGGAGCACGAGCGCAUCGCCUCGGCGCAGCACGUUGGGUCAGACCUGCAUUCCUGGGGAUACAACUGUCGCGAGCACCUGCGCUUGAUGAUGACAGAGCAGGCGAUGCCCGUGCCGCGACGCCCGAGCGCCGGUGACGUUAUCGGGUCCAUGAUUGACCUCGAGGCGAUGAUGGUGUGCUGGACCAUCAACGGGCAGGAAAUAUCGUGGGUAUCGGUGCCGGCUCAGGGCGACGGUGAGGAGAUCUAUCCAUACGUGAGCGCCUCCGUUGAGCCGCACAGCCUCAAGAUCCGCCUGGGCAACACGCAGUUCAAGCCAGCCGGCUAUCAAGACUACUCACCGCCGUCAGACAAGCAACUGUGGGGUAGAGACGACGAGAAAAGCGACGGCGGAAACGAUGCGAACGACGCGCAGGUCGGCGCGGCCGAAGCUCUCCCGCAGACAUAUGAAUUUUAUCAGCAACUCAGUCGUGCUCUGGAGGAGGCCUCCAUCACGUCCCUCAGGGAGUCGUCUGUGCUGCCGCUGCUCGACGCGGCUAGAGCGCACAGCGUGCUUCGCCAAUACCCACUCUUGAUGGAGGUGGUCGGCUCGGCCACUGUCGGCGACCGCGAAGAGCGCUUGGCAGCACCUGUGAACAUUCACGGCCUGCUUCUAUACAUUCAGCAACUGCGCUGCGUCCAGGAGCUGACCAUCAUCGUUGCACGCCACCUGUGGCUCAUCGAGAAGUCGCCGUACCUCAUGUCCUGCUACCGCAAGGCAACAGACCUUCUCUUCAGCAGCGGUCGCUGGACCAUCUUCGAACUCCAGCCGGGCGGCAGACCCAAGUACAACGGCGGGCACGCUCUCCGUGUGCUCGUGUCGCUGCGCAAGGCAAACCAGGUGCGCGCCGAGGCAGACGCGGCGUGGAUAGCAGAGCACUCGGCGCUGCUGCCGUCCCCUUCACCCGCGCUAUCGCCGCUGUCGCUUCCCUCUCGCCAAAACUCUCACGCUGACGCUGCCGCCGUCUUGGCAGCCGUGCCGCCGCUGGUAGACGGCACUAGACAGACAGGCGAAGCCGCGGCGGCGCGGUCUCCAUUUGCAGAGGAGGCGCCGGCGGCCUUUCCCCACGACGUCCACGACGCCGGCGAGGACGACGACGCGGAAGACGACACGGACGACUUAGUGGGUGACAUGGAGGAUGAGGAUGAGGACGCCGAGGAAGACGAGGGGGACGUGCUGUCUAUGCACGCCGGCAGCUCGGGCAACGAGCGGCGCAACAGCCUGCGCGACGUUUUCGGCGACGCCUCCUCCUUGUCGCCGGAGGAGCGACGGCUCCGCUGCAGCGUGACUGGGCAGCUUUUCACACAACUGGAGAAGACACGCGUGUACCAGCGAGCACGCAUGUUUGCGGUGCAGCUAGAAGGCACACUCGCGCUGGACGCUGGCGGCGUAACGCGCACCAUCAUGAGCAUGAUCGGGGACGAGGUGAGCUACCGCUUUAUCCGCGGGGUGCGCGUGGAUCCGCUGCUGCCGCUUUUUCAGCUGUGCAGCCACAGCACCAUCUUCACGGUCGUUCCGAACAUGUCCGCGCUGUACGCGAGCGAGGCGGCCGAUGACGGCGCCGAGGGCAGUGUGCUGCGUCGCAUGUUCGAGUGGCUUGGCAAGAUCAUGGGCAACAUGGUGCUGUGCGGCACGCUGAAGGCGUCGUUCGACUUUCCUCAGAUGCUAUGGAAGACGCUGACAUUCCAGGAGGACACGAUAACGCUGGCCGACUACGCGCACGACAUAGACGACAACAUCAUAGCCGCACUCGAGGACGAGGAGUUCGUGCUCAGUGAUGACUUUUUUGCGUCCCUGCCGGAGCACGUGCGGGCGAGCCCGGCGUUGCUGCGCAGCCUGCAAGGCGGCGGCGCCGGUGCUAUGGACGGCGCCGCCGCACCGUUUGCCGCCCGCCCGCUGCGGCCGUACGCCUGCAUGACCCCGGGGGUGAGCAUGCAUGACAUGAGCCACCUGGUACUGGAGGAGCUGGAGGAUAUGGCUGCCAGCGCGGAGGCGGCCGAGGUGAACCGGCGCCGUGCCCUUGCCCAGGAGGCACUGCUCCAUCAGUACGACCCCGCGUUCUUGGCAAUUCGUGCUGGCCUGACCUCUGUUGUUCCCGCCACUUCGUUGCGCUCCGUGCGGUGGGAGGACCUGCGCGCGCGUGUGUGCGGCACCGGCGCCGCCUCGAGCGAGCACGUCAUCGCGGAGCUGGACAUGUCGCCGCUCUCCCUGUCCAUGCGCGCCAUGCUGACGGAGGUGCUGAACGGCUUCACCGAGUCGCAGCUGGCGCGCUUCCUGCUUUUCUGCUCUGGCCAGAGCCGCAUCCCGCUGCCGGAGAAGGUGCUGGUGGAGUGCGGGGACGAGCCAGGACGGCUGCCGACGGCGCACACCUGCUCUCCCAUUUCGCUGCUGCUGCAACCAUGCACAGCAGCCGCGGACUUGCAACGCAGUCUGGAGACGUGCCUCAACCACGCGGCGGAGUUCGGCUUUGUGUAGAGGCGGUAUCUCCGCGUCGCCACCGCAGUAGACGGGGAGGGGAGCCCAUGCAGCGUUGCUCCUGCCAUGCUAUCUGCUUUUCUGCCUUUGGUUGCCGUAUGUACCGAUAGAGGCGAUGAUGAGCACGUCUGGCGAUACGAGUACGCCGGGUGAGUCUUCGUUUACGCUGCGGACUCUUACCACUCCGCCUUCUGCCUUUCUUCUACCUUCCCUUUCUCUUCUGCUGCCGCCACGGCAGCUGUGAUGCCUGUGCGCGCGUGCGUUACGUCGCCGCUACCUCGCCUCUCUUUUUCUUCGCUUCGCCUCUGGAGGGCCGCUGUGGAGCACCGCGUCUCGCGCAGUUCUGUUUUCGCGUUCCCCUCUCCCUGUUGUUGCCGCACGUGUCUGCUUCCAUCUGUCUGUGUGCCACUUGGAGUGGGGUGCGUAUGCGCUUGCAUCGGCGUUGCUUUCCUCGCCAAACUCCCCAUGGAGCUCGGCAUAGCUCGCGUAUAUACCUGCGCUGACUUC